GAGACCAGAAGUGAAAAGAAAUGCUGCAUCUAGCUGUGGACAUGCAUCCACUAGGAAGAACCCUAGCACAUUUCACUUCUGACAAAUGAAAACUCAGAAUUCAGAAACUGGAGGAGUUUAAGAAAACAUGCAAAAUGCUGAGGAUACACGUAAGUGAAAUAUUUAAUGUCCAUCAUUCAUAAAAGUUACAUUGUUUACAUAGGGUUCAUUAGUAUAUAAUAAAAAUGUCAUCUUAAUGAAAGAUUUUCUGGCAAGUUUUUAUAUGUUAAUUUGUUUAACAUACGCUUUGGCUAUACAGCUAAAUAGGAAUAUAUUUUUAAAAAAUCUUUCUGCAAAUAGUUGCUUCACGCUUACAAAACCUCAUCGCUAAUCAUUGGUUAUUGUCACACUUGCUUGUCGGCUCGUAAAAUCAUCUGCGUUUUAGACUGGGAAUCUCAGGAGCAACUAUUUGUAAUGUACUUGCUCGUUGCAUAGUGACCUUGUAAACAGCUCAGGGAUCCACAAAUGAUAUCCAUGUAUUCUAAAAGUCAUUGAAAGUUUUACAUACUGCUUAUGUUUUCGUAUAUUGAUGAAGAAUUUGGGGGUUGUUUUACUGCUGAUGCUGAUGGGAUUAUUUUUUUAAAAAAAAGUCGGUUUUAUACAGCAGGUUAAAAAAAUAAAAGGUAAACACCAAAGGAAAUACUUUUUGCUGUGUAACAGACAGUAUUGCUACCUCAUUCUUUUUGAUUUUAUAUAUAUAACAUGUUGGAACUGCGCUGUACUGCUUCUUUUCAAAAGAAACGUUUAAAUUAGCUGGAACAAUUAGCUAAGUGUUUACAUAAAAUUAACUAUGUUUGCAUCAAAUAAAAUGUUUAUUAAUGAAAGCUAUUAUACAAGAAACAUCAAAGAGAAAUUCAUCAUACAGAAAUGUACACUAUAUGUGACAGAUGGAAAAGUGCAUGCAGAUUUGUCUCAUAAAAAAAAAAAAGGAUUCAGAAACAAUAGUACUAAAGUUACUGGGUUUUGAUUCCUAUGAUUUGGAAUGAGUGAAAAGUUCUCUUUGAAUUUACAAAAAUCCAUUUAACAGAUAUGACUAGUACACAUUAGCAAGCAAGUGGAAUGAAUGCACUCAGAUUUUAUUUUACAAGUACUUGUGCUUGACAAAUGUGAUAUUUAAAGAAAAGUUUUCUUCGAAUAUGGGCUGGGUAGAUUGCUGCCAGGUUGCUCUGGUUUUAUACAUAGUUUCUCUAAAUUUGUUUUUAAUACCACACAAUUUGUUGAAGCCUCCAGUUCUGUUAAUUAGACAUCAUAAAAUAACAUAUGUUUUGUUAACAUUCAGGAAAUGACAUCAAGUCUUUUAUUUUUAUUUUUUGGCUCGAUAGAUUUUUAAAUGUAUGAUUAUCAUAACCUAAUAUUGUCUUUGUCUUCACUGCAGUGGAUUUCCGAUCAAACUUUUCCCCUUCUUUUAAUACUUUAGGGAAUUUUCAAACGUCGGGAUGUUUGGCUGUAAUGCCCCAUGAUUUGUUCUCCCUGAAAGAAAUCAUAGUGACAAUUUAUUAAACUACAGAGCAACCUGGCUUCUCGGGGUCUGCAAUUCUAGUUUGUGUUCAAUACACCUAGCAUUAAAUCUUGCUUCAUUUCAUCAUAUUAUUUAGGUUAUAUUCGUCAUGCAAUUACUUUAGCUGCUAGCUUUCUGACUUUUUUAGAAGCCUAUGAUGGGGUUUCCGUAUCAAAUCAGUGGGGCAUUACUUGGCAUGUUCAAAAAAGGGGGUUAAGAGGCUAACAUCUAAAUUGCACCAGCAGUAGCAUAUAUACUGAAUAGGAAGAAACUGAAAACCUAAGAAGGAACCGUAUUUUAGGAUAUUUAAAAGGCCGUGUUUCCAUGUUUAAUACCAAUUGGUCGCAGGUACCGUAAAAGCAAAGAGACACUCCGGAACAUGUAGGCUUUAGAUUGAAAAAUAAUAGUAAUAAAAACUGAUGGGAAAUAAUACUCCUUAGAUUCAAAAUGGUUUAUUCACACAAAUUUAAUAGGAUAUAUCACAAUUGUUUGGUCCAUAAAUAUUUAGGGGAAAUAGUUUCUAUACAAUGCAUUUAUCAAUAAACAAAGAAACAUGGACAAUUUUGCUAGACCACUUACUGUACUAUAAACACGAAGCUCAAUAUAUAAGAUUAUUGGAUUUAUCAACUAUAUCUGAAAGAGUGCACAACUGCUUUCUAUGACAUGUUUGUCCCCUCUAACAGGAUACACCAUAAAAAGAGUUUCAGAAAUAAGAGGUAAAACAGUACAAAACUAGUGAGGUGUCAAAAGGGCUUAAAACAGUUAAUUUAACAAACAACACAUAUAUCCUGAUUUUUCACAAACUUACUCCCAAGGUAUAUCAUAAGGCACAUAGUAGAACUGAGUUUUAAUUAGUCUACUUAAUAAAGUAGAUCUCUAGUACCAUAUAUUGUUCUGUCAAAGAACAAAAUUUAUAAGUAUCAAUAUUUUUACCUGUAAAAGUGUAUUAAUAAAGAUCUCAGCCUUACCAAGGUUGUUUGGUCUGGUUAGUGGUAAAUGCCCAUAAGAUAAUAGAAAUAGGAAAAGUCAAGAUUUAAUAUCCGUAGAAGAUGAUAACCAUACUUGCUAAAUAUAUAAUGGCAAACACACCUUUCUUCUAUUACAGUGUUAACAUCUCUUCCAUCAUCUUUUUUUAAAAAUAAGCUACUUUUCUGUGCUAAUUUUCUAAAAACCCUGAGCAAAAAUUACAAUAAUGCACUUUAAUGUGGGCAGUGAACUGUCAAUAUGUAACCACACAUUUAUACAGCCAAAAAGGACACCUUUAAAAUAUAUUAAAUAGCCACUUUGACCACCAAAAAAAGAGAUUUGAUGGUGUCUAAAAAGUGGGGUAUAUGUGCAAAGUUAUUCUUAACAAUCCACUAAAAGCAAGACAUAGAUCUUGACUGGUUUUUGUUCGGUUUUGUUUCUGAGACUCUCCACAAUCUAAUUGGUGUUCAACUACAAUAAAAGGAUACAAAUGAACAUUCACCACUGCCCAGACCAUUCAGACUUUUAGCUUAAAUAAAAUUAAAAAAAGAAAGUCCGCUAUUGUAAACUAAGAAAUGUAUUGAGAUCAGCAUCCACAAGGCUUCUGAGUUUAUCUGCUUUAAAAUUAUCCGCUGCCAAUUCCCAAUUUUGUAAGAAUUUUUGCUAACAUUUUGUCCUUUUAUACAAAGUUAAAAAAAAGGUAAAGCGUGUGUUAAGGAUAGCAAGGAACUAAAGAUUUUAAGGUGGUGUGUUAAACAAAGAAUCUGAUACAAUCUCAGGAAACAGCUACGGUAAAUUCAAAAUAGUAAUGAAUAAGUCGUACUAAAACCAUGUUCCUUAAACAUCUUAAUAAAUUAUAUUUUGCUUAUUUCCAUUUCCCUGAAAAACUGUGAUUUAUCAAAAGCUUCUUUUAACAGUGCACGUGCUUGUGCAUCAUUGAAAUCAUUUUUGUGCUCACUAGAGUAGCUGGAUGACCCCCUGUUUGCUUUAGUAGUACGGCAUGGAGGCCGAGUAGCAAACUGCCCUUUUUUUUUAAUUUAAUUCUGAAUCUGUGCCGUUCGACUGCAGAGCAGAAUGAAAACCCCUCCCUGUGCGAUAUGUCAGAUCAGAGGGACUCCCACCUCGAGCUGUUGCUCUGCUCUAACAAUACCCUUACAGCAGCGAGCUCAUUCCGGAGGGCGUUUCCCACCCUUGCCCUCCGUAACUCGCAGAGGUGAGCUCGGGGACCCCCAGCCUCAGCUGUGCUCGAUGGGCCCCACUCCAGGCCCCCACCGGCUGCAGCCCUCGGUGUGGGCUGGGUGCAAGGCUGCAGUGCAGCGCUCGGCCCCGCGGGGCUCCCAGCGUGCCCGGGGGGGGCGGCCUUGGCACUAACGCGUUACAAAGAAGCACUGGGACUUGCAGUCUGACUAGGUCAACGAUUUAAUCCAUGUCGUAUUUAUUUGUCUACAUUUAAAAAAUAAAUCGUACAAAACUUUUAGAUGCAUUAUAAAAAUAAAAGGAAAUCUUGGGUUCUGGAAGUGAACAUACAAUCGUGAAAGCAGCAUUCUUUUGUCUAUAAUUAUACUGACUUUUAUCUGGUUAUCAGGGAGGGAAAAGAAACUUCUGGGCUUUGUAGUAGAAGUGGUAAUCAUGUUUCUUUCAAGAUUGUGGAAAUAAGUAACAUACAAUUUUAAGAGGCACUUAUUAGAAUGAUUCAGAACUUCUCUUCGGUUGUCUGAUGAAUUAAAAAAAUUUGAGUACAAUUUAUCAACAACAAAUGCUUGUUUAUUAUAGCAACAUAUUACUUCAAACUCAUUUGCCAAGUGGCUGCAGAUGCUACACAUCAAGCUGUUUAUUUUCCCAAAUAUUUUGUGGGUUUGUUAUUUUGUUUAAAAAAAAAAAAGGCUUGAAAA
Molecule: long non-coding RNA, 4395 nt
Organism: Gallus gallus (chicken)
Lineage: Eukaryota; Metazoa; Chordata; Aves; Galliformes; Phasianidae
Exons: 2
Source: RefSeq, a predicted model, not a curated record